RNAcentral lists this ribosomal RNA (683 nucleotides) under uncultured fungus. RNAcentral describes it as "eukaryotic LSU rRNA". The stretch from base 290 to 443 matches the Rfam family "5.8S ribosomal RNA". Lineage: Eukaryota; Fungi. The record is from RNAcentral.
CUUGGUCAUUUAGAGGAAGUAAACCAGGGUUACCCGUAGGUCAACCUGCGGUUCGAUCAUUACAAAAUUGUAUACUUACCAAAAACACCGGUGUGCACCAUAAUGUUCUUGGUAGCGUAUUGGAUGGGUCACGUACCCCACAUCGGGCAGUGCACGUGAGGACUUCGGUCUUUGACUGUGCGAGUCAGCUGUGGGACCUACUGGCCUUUCUCGAUCGCUGCCGCACGUCCAAACAUUGUAUUACAAAAUUAUAGUCUGAAUCAGUUCACCACAAAGUGAAAUGAAAAACAACUUUUGACAACGGAUCUCUUGGCUCUCGCAACGAUGAAGAACGCAGCGAAUUGCGAUAAGUAAUGUGAAUUGCAGAAUUCAGUGAAUCAUCAAAUCUUUGAACGCACAUUGCGCUCUCUGGUAUUCCGGAGAGCAUGCCUGUUUGAGAAUCGAUAAAACCCUCACAUGUCCCUCCCUCUUUGGAACAGUUCAAAGUUGGGAGGUGCGCCUCUGUGGAUCUGGAUCGUUUGUGGACCUCCGAGUCUACAAUGAUCUUAAAUGAAAUGUCUACAGCUCUUGUUGUCCUCAACAAAGCCCAGAGUGCAUGAAUGGAGUUUGAAAGAACUUGAUCCUCACGAUGGUGUUUUGUUCAAAGGCUCACUUGUUGUGUACCCAACCAUUACAUUGGUGGA